UGGGGAAUUUUGGACAAUGGGCGAAAGCCUGAUCCAGCAAUGCCGCGUGUGUGAAGAAGGCCUUCGGGUUGUAAAGCACUUUUGUCCGGAAAGAAAUCCUUGGCUCUAAUACAGUCGGGGGAUGACGGUACCGGAAGAAUAAGCACCGGCUAACUACGUGCCAGCAGCCGCGGUAAUACGUAGGGUGCAAGCGUUAAUCGGAAUUACUGGGCGUAAAGCGUGCGCAGGCGGUUUGCUAAGACCGAUGUGAAAUCCCCGGGCUCAACCUGGGAACUGCAUUGGUGACUGGCAGGCUAGAGUAUGGCAGAGGGGGGUAGAAUUCCACGUGUAGCAGUGAAAUGCGUAGAGAUGUGGAGGAAUACCGAUGGCGAAGGCAGCCCCCUGGGCCAAUACUGACGCUCAUGACGAAAGCGUGGGGAGCAAACAGGAUUNGAUACCCCUGGUAGUCCACCCCUAAAACGAUGUCAACUAGUUGUUGGGGAUUCAUUUCCUUAGUAACGUAGCUAACGCGUGAAGUUGACCGCCUGGGGAGUACGGUCGCAAGAUUAAAACUCAAAGGAAUU
Molecule: ribosomal RNA, 563 nt
Filed under: uncultured bacterium
Lineage: Bacteria
Description: partial 16S ribosomal RNA
Rfam family: Bacterial small subunit ribosomal RNA
Source: RNAcentral